RNAcentral lists this long non-coding RNA (3062 nucleotides) under Triticum aestivum (bread wheat). RNAcentral describes it as "long non-coding RNA (TAES_LNC000582)". The record is from RNAcentral. Lineage: Eukaryota; Viridiplantae; Streptophyta; Magnoliopsida; Poales; Poaceae.
GUUGGGUUAACCCUCCCACCUGGCCACCUCCCCACGAGCCACGAAGGCCUCUAACCUCAUCCACCACCACCACCUCGUGCGCUAAUAUCAUGCGUCUAAGGAUGAAAUAAAAAUAAAAUCCUCUCCGCCAGCUCUCUCCCCCGAUUCCUCUCUCCACCACCACCGAUUCCAGGGAACUCCGGCGCUCCCCUGCACUCCUGAUCCCUGGUUCGGAUCCCUCUUACUAUUCUCUCCUCUAACCCGCGGCCCGCCGCCUCCCCGACAUCCUAUGCGACCCUGCCCACGCCCCCGCAGAAACCCUAGACCCCCACGGGUCGCCGGCGCAGCUUUGGCACCUCCGGUUUGUCGGCCCACCACCCCGCCUCUCUGCACGAGCGGCUAUCGGCUCGGGCUCGACGGUACUGCGCUCCGUCAGCUACCUCGACUCCGACGCCGACGGUUCAGUAAGGCACUGAUCCCCUCUGAUCUUACCCUUGCUGGUAUUCGGUGUGGCUUGGCCAUCAUGCCAAGGCUGUUUCUUUUCCAGAAAUUUUGACGAUUAUCUAUGCUACCUUGAUCACUCGCCUGAUCUAUGCAUCCAUGCCACUCCCCGAUCCGAGUUCUCCACUGUAGUUGUGCGCGCACUGAAAUACCAGGUUGUAAGUACCAGGGAAUCAGUGUGUACUUAACUAAUUUACGGCUGUUUGUUUUUGCUAAUAACAGCUUGAUGACAUGGCACAGAUAGUCUGAUAUAUUCUGUAACUUCAGUUUUUUUCGAGAUUGUAUUCUGUAACUUCUUCAUUGUGCUUGGUAAAAAAAAUAUCUUCUAUGUUUACGCCACAAAACUUUGGAUCUGUAAGUAAUGCUAACAAUGCCUAACAGUUUUGAUAGCUUUUAUUUGGGACUGACUGACAGUAUACACUCUUUUUUUGCUUCUUUGCACUGUUAUAUUAUUUCAGUUUCCUAACAUACAGAAAAGCCCCGAUCUGUUAUCUUCAGGUUGUAGUUGAGACUUCAUUUAUGCCGAGUAUGCUGUAGCAGCUGAACAUCGUCAUCGCUCAAAUGUGUAGGAGGUGCCUUUCUUUACAGACUUUAGUUCCUUAUAUAGUAGCACUUUCUUACACCAACUGGGCAUGCUUAAUUUAAGUUGAAAGUUUUCAACCUUUAGGAUAAAUUCAAGUUUAACAUUCCAUAUGUGUAGUUUGUUAUUAGCUGCAUUGUUAUUUAGCUGGCUGGUACUAAGUUCUAAAAGGCAUCCUCCUUCCAGAGCUAAAUUUCUUAAAUCUUAGAGAAAGUAAAUAUUUAGUCAAUAUGCAUGUAAAUCUUGAUCUCGACAUCUAUAUUUUACCUUUAUAUUGUGUCAUUCACAGUUACAUAUGCAAGUUGGGUUUUAUUAUCUGUUCAGUAGUAGAGGGGAAAUUGUGAAAUGUUGAUACGACUCCCUGGAUACUACCCUAGUAUGUCCUUGCGUCCGAGUGAUGAUAUAUCCAAACAUCUAAUAUUGACUUGCACUUCUCGUGAAUGAAAUGUGACUGAUUUUAUCUUCUACAGUGCCUGCUUUCCAUGAUGUACCGAUGUCAUUGAUGUGCCUUUUGUGGUGAGAAGAUUACACAAAUCUAGAUCUGAAGUCUAUUGAAUUCUGCUCGAGAGUGUUAUCCUACCUAACCCAUAUUUUUGGUUUCUAAUGGAAGUAAUUUUCAUAUAACAGAUGAGAAAGGAACUAGGUAUUGCAGAUGAUGUUACGGUGGUCAUUUUCUACAUUUGAGGACAGGUGGGCCAUUAACUAAGAUGGGCAUUCUGUUUUCUUAAGUGUGGAUGCUUUACUUCUUUUUUUAGUUUAAAUGAUGGCAGCUAAUUGAACAUCUCUGAACUUGCUUCAUGUAAUUCUCUUGAUUUUAACUUCGAGAACAUCUGAUUUCCUGAAUUCUCUGUACUUAUUUAAUUUUUUUGACAAGCUGUCUACCAAUCAUCAAGCACAAAAGAUGCGCCACCAUAUAGAUAAGCUUCUCUCGCCCUGCAUUGACAUGUUUUCCCCUUGUUUUAUGAAUGUGAAACAAGAAUUGAACUUGACGCCGCUGAAGUUAAAUUAAGUAUAUCCCUCUAGCAUAAUCAUGCACAUCAAUUGUUCAAGAAAAAAAUCUUCUAUGUUAUUUUUUCCCAUCCUAUACCAAUGAUCAAUGUUGUAAUAAGAUUAUUCCGCAGUUCACUAAGAUUUCAGUAUAUAAGAGAGACUAUACACAUGUUUUUGUUUUCAAUAAUACAUAGCAAAAAAAAUUCAAAUAACUAUGAUAGAAAUCAGUGUCCUGUACGUGGUUCCACAAAGACAAGUUUAUACUGUUCUGCACUUACUAUGAUAGAAAUGAUCUAAAUCUCUGAAUAGCAAUGAGUGUGCAAAGUAUUUAGCGUGCCAUGAAUUGCCAAAAUGAUAGUACUAAUUAUCGGUGAAGUUAUUCUGAUUUAGCAAAUAAAACUUACCUGAAUAAGCAAUUUGCAAGAUUAGAUAUCAAGCCAACAACAUGCUCUUCUACGGCUAUGUAAUGCAACCAACCUAGCUCAGUAACCUUUCUAAUGCUACAUUAGAAAAAUAUGAUCAGUUGAUACGACCACUCAAAAAUGUCAAAAGUAAUUGUCAUGCAGCUAGAUUAGUUAUCGCAAGGCCUUCAGCCUUUGUAUGUUUCCCCCUCUUCUUAAUUGUAUUGCUCUAUUGGCCAGGGUUUUUUCAUUCUCUAAUGCUACGUUACUCAUGUCAGUUUUUAUUUUUGAUGUAGAUUGCCAAGAUAAAUAGAGGAUGCAUGGAUAAGUUGUUUUUGGCAAGGCAGAGAAUGGGACUACUACCAACAUAGUUUUACGUUAAGUUUUUAGAAAGCCGUUUUCAUGGUCAGUGUAUAGAAAAUGAUGUGACGUCAUUUUCAGGGUCAAUGUAAAGAAAAUCAUGUGUUUACUCUUUUGAUUUUGUUCCAUGUAAUGCAACCAAUCAGAUUCAAUAUAUGAGCUCUCCCUAUUUACUGAUUUUUUGCUCUUGUGCACUAUCAAUAUUAACCGAAUAAUUGUUGUUGUUAAUAUAUAUAAAAUAUUGGCAAUUG